This 72-nucleotide non-coding RNA is filed under the name uncultured eukaryote. The record is from RNAcentral.
GGAAGAGCCUGGUGCCCACACUAUUCGAGACGGCGGAGGAGAGGGCCAACAGAUUGGGCGAGGAGUUUCAGG